RNAcentral lists this unclassified non-coding RNA (474 nucleotides) under uncultured Bartonella sp. RNAcentral describes it as "partial 16S-23S ribosomal RNA intergenic spacer". The stretch from base 88 to 161 matches the Rfam family "tRNA". The record is from RNAcentral. Lineage: Bacteria; Pseudomonadati; Pseudomonadota; Alphaproteobacteria; Hyphomicrobiales; Bartonellaceae.
UUUAAAAAAGGCUUUAUGAAGAAAGCACUUUAAGCUUUUCCAGUGAUUUAAGAUGAUACCGGGGAAGGUUUUCCGGUUUAUCCCGGAGGGCUUGUAGCUCAGUUGGUUAGAGCGCGCGCUUGAUAAGCGUGAGGUCGGAGGUUCAAGUCCUCCCAGGCCCACCAAUUUAUGCUCGUUUUUUUGCUUAUUCCAAGAGGAUAAGGUUAAAGCGUAUUUAAAGUCUCUUCAAUCUUUGUUUGUUGUAAAGAUUUUAUUUUAUUCUCCAAAGAUUGCUGGUAAAUUUAUCCUAUUAAGUUCUCAAAGAGGAUUUUAAAAUCCCUUCAAGGGGAUAGGAAAAUUUAAAUGUUGCAAAUCAAAAUAGUCAAAGUCAUUCAAGGUGAUGAGUUUUCUUGAGGUUGAUUUGAAAGAGCAUUAUUUAGGGGCCGGAGCUCAACUGGGAGAGCACCUGCUUUGCAAGCAGGGGGCGGUCGGUUC